UACGUAGGGUGCGAGCGUUGUCCGGAAUUACUGGGCGUAAAGAGCUCGUAGGUGGUUUGUCGCGUUGUUCGUGAAAUCUCACGGCUUAACUGUGAGCGUGCGGGCGAUACGGGCAGACUAGAGUACUGCAGGGGAGACUGGAAUUCCUGGUGUAGCGGUGAAAUGCGUAGAUAUCAGGAGGAACACCCAUGGCGAAGGCAGUAAACUGGUCGACAUCUGACGCUGAGGCGCGAAAGUGUGGGUAGCAAACAGG
This 253-nucleotide ribosomal RNA is filed under the name uncultured bacterium. RNAcentral describes it as "partial 16S ribosomal RNA". It matches the Rfam family "Bacterial small subunit ribosomal RNA", at positions 524 to 776 of the family's 1533-position model. The record is from RNAcentral.